Molecule: ribosomal RNA, 253 nt
Filed under: uncultured bacterium
Lineage: Bacteria
Description: partial 16S ribosomal RNA
Rfam family: Bacterial small subunit ribosomal RNA
Source: RNAcentral
GACGUAGGUGGCAAGCGUUGUCCGGAUUUACUGGGCGUAAAGAGCGCGCAGGCGGUCGUUCAAGUCGAGUGUGAAAGCCCCCGGCUCAACUGGGGAGGGUCACUCGAUACUGAUCGACUCGAAGGCAGAAGAGGGAAGCGGAAUUCCCGGUGUAGUGGUGAAAUGCGUAGAUAUCGGGAGGAACACCAGUGGCGAAGGCGGCUUUCUGGUCUGCUCUUGACGCUGAGGCGCGAAAGCUAGGGUAGCAAACGGG